GCGGGUAUAGCUUAAAGGCAAAGUAAAAGUUUUCCAAACUUUAGAAAAGGGUUCGAUUCCCUUUAUCCGCU
RNAcentral lists this transfer RNA (71 nucleotides) under Candidatus Zinderia insecticola CARI. Its description in RNAcentral is "tRNA-Gly (TCC) (tRNA-Gly-TCC-1-1)". It matches the Rfam family "tRNA". From Rfam's summary of the family: Transfer RNA (tRNA) molecules are approximately 80 nucleotides in length. Their secondary structure includes four short double-helical elements and three loops (D, anti-codon, and T loops). Lineage: Bacteria; Pseudomonadati; Pseudomonadota; Betaproteobacteria; Burkholderiales; Oxalobacteraceae. The record is from Rfam by way of RNAcentral.